UACGUAGGGUGCGAGCGUUAAUCGGAAUUACUGGGCGUAAAGGGUCCGCAGGUUGUUUUGUAAGUCAGAUGUGAAAGCCCCGGGCUUAACCUGGGAACUGCGUCUGAAACUACAAGGCUAGAGUAUGGCAGAGGGGGGUGGAAUUCCGCGUGUAGCAGUGAAAUGCGUAGAUAUGUGGAGGAACACCGAUGGCGAAGGCAGCCCCCUGGGUCAAUACUGACGCUGAGGGACGAAAGCAUGGGGAGCAAAC
This 250-nucleotide ribosomal RNA is filed under the name uncultured bacterium. RNAcentral describes it as "partial 16S ribosomal RNA". It matches the Rfam family "Bacterial small subunit ribosomal RNA", at positions 524 to 773 of the family's 1533-position model. The record is from RNAcentral.